GGGAGACACCUUGAUCAUGAAGGAGGUUUUCCCAGGGUGAGGCUCAACCACUACACGCCAAUUGUGUUGACUCCUGGGAUUUUCCCAAAUGCAGGAAAUGUGUA
RNAcentral lists this small nuclear RNA (104 nucleotides) under Salvator merianae (Argentine black and white tegu). RNAcentral describes it as "U1 spliceosomal RNA (ENSSMRG00000014218.1)". The record is from RNAcentral. Lineage: Eukaryota; Metazoa; Chordata; Lepidosauria; Squamata; Teiidae.